UACGUAGGGGGCAAGCGUUGUCCGGAAUCAUUGGGCGUAAAGAGCGUGUAGGCGGCCCGGUAAGUCCGCUGUAAAAGUCAAAGGCUCAACCUUUGAAUGUCAGUGGAUACUGCCGGGCUAGAGUCCGGAAGAGGCGAGUGGAAUUCCUGGUGUAGCGGUGGAAUGCGCAGAUAUCAGGAGGAACACCAGCGGCGAAGGCAGCUCGCUGGGACGGUACUGACGCUGAGGCGCGAAAGCGUGGGGAGCGAACAGG
RNAcentral lists this ribosomal RNA (253 nucleotides) under uncultured bacterium. RNAcentral's name for it is "partial 16S ribosomal RNA". It matches the Rfam family "Bacterial small subunit ribosomal RNA", at positions 524 to 776 of the family's 1533-position model. The record is from RNAcentral.